UACGUAGGAGGCAAGCGUUGUCCGGAGUUACUGGGCGUAAAGCGUGUGUAGGCGGUUUGGCGCGUCCGAUGUGAAAUCUCCCGGCUUACCUGGGAGGGGGCAUGGGAUACGGUCAGACUUGAGGGCAUGAGAGGCCAGUAGAACUCCCGGUGGACCAGUGAAAUGGGUAGAGAUCGGGAAGAAUACCAGUGGUGCAGACGGCUGGCUGGCGUGUACCUGACGCUGAGACACGAAAGCAUGGGGAGCAAACAGG
Molecule: ribosomal RNA, 253 nt
Filed under: uncultured bacterium
Lineage: Bacteria
Description: partial 16S ribosomal RNA
Rfam family: Bacterial small subunit ribosomal RNA
Source: RNAcentral